Molecule: ribosomal RNA, 489 nt
Filed under: uncultured bacterium
Lineage: Bacteria
Description: bacterial SSU rRNA
Rfam family: Bacterial small subunit ribosomal RNA
Source: RNAcentral
GGCUCAGAUUGAACGCUGGCGGAAUGCUUUACACAUGCAAGUCGAACGGCAGCACGGGAGCAAUCCUGGUGGCGAGUGGCGAACGGGUGAGUAAUAUAUCGGAACGUGCCCAGUCGUGGGGAUAACGUAGCGAAAGUUACGCUAAUACCGCAUACGAUCUAAGGAUGAAAGCGGGGGAUCGCAAGACCUCGCGCGAUUGGAGCGGCCGAUAUCAGAUUAGGUAGUUGGUGAGGUAAAGGCUCACCAAGCCAACGAUCUGUAGCUGGUCUGAGAGGACGACCAGCCACACUGGAACUGAGACACGGUCCAGACUCCUACGGGAGGCAGCAGUGGGGAAUUUUGGACAAUGGACGCAAGUCUGAUCCAGCCAUUCCGCGUGCAGGAUGAAGGCCCUCGGGUUGUAAACUGCUUUGUACGGAACGAAAAGGUUUCUAUUAAUACUAGGAGCUCAUGACGGUACCGUAAGAAUAAGCACCGGCUAACUACGUG